UUAAGUUAUUAAGGGCGCACGGUGGAUGCCUUGGCACUAGAAGCCGAUGAAGGACGUUACUAACGACGAUAUGCUUUGGGUAGCUGUAAGUAAGCGUUGAUCCAGAGAUUUCCGAAUGGGGGAACCCAGCAUGAGUUAUGUCAUGUUAUCGACAUGUGAAUUUAUAGCAUGUCAGAAGGCAGACCCGGAGAACUGAAACAUCUUAGUACCCGGAGGAAGAGAAAGAAAAAUCGAUUCCCUGAGUAGCGGCGAGCGAAACGGGAAGAGCCCAAACCAACAAGCUUGCUUGUUGGGGUUGUAGGACACUCUAUACGGAGUUACAAAAGAACAUGUUAGACGAAUCAUCUGGAAAGAUGAAUCAAAGAAGGUAAUAAUCCUGUAGUCGAAAACAUAUUCUCUCUUGAGUGGAUCCUGAGUACGACGGAGCACGUGAAAUUCCGUCGGAAUCUGGGAGGACCAUCUCCUAAGGCUAAAUACUCUCUAGUGACCGAUAGUGAACCAGUACCGUGAGGGAAAGGUGAAAAGUACCCCGGAAGGGGAGUGAAAGAGAACCUGAAACCGUGUGCUUACAAGUAGUCAGAGCCCGUUAAUGGGUGAUGGCGUGCCUUUUGUAGAAUGAACCGGCGAGUUACGAUCUGAUGCAAGGUUAAGCAGCAAAUGUGGAGCCGCAGCGAAAGCGAGUCUGAAUAGGGCGUUGAGUAUUUGGUCGUAGACCCGAAACCAGGUGAUCUACCCUUGGUCAGGUUGAAGUUCAGGUAACACUGAAUGGAGGACCGAACCGACUUACGUUGAAAAGUGAGCGGAUGAACUGAGGGUAGCGGAGAAAUUCCAAUCGAACUUGGAGAUAGCUGGUUCUCUCCGAAAUAGCUUUAGGGCUAGCCUCAAGUGAUGAUUAUUGGAGGUAGAGCACUGUUUGGACGAGGGGCCCCUCUCGGGUUACCGAAUUCAGACAAACUCCGAAUGCCAAUUAAUUUAACUUGGGAGUCAGAACAUGGGUGAUAAGGUCCGUGUUCGAAAGGGAAACAGCCCAGACCACCAGCUAAGGUCCCAAAAUAUAUGUUAAGUGGAAAAGGAUGUGGCGUUGCACAGACAACUAGGAUGUUGGCUUAGAAGCAGCCAUCAUUUAAAGAGUGCGUAAUAGCUCACUAGUCGAGUGACCCUGCGCCGAAAAUGUACCGGGGCUAAACAUAUUACCGAAGCUGUGGAUUGUCCUUUGGACAAUGGUAGGAGAGCGUUCUAAGGGCGUCGAAGCAUGAUCGCAAGGACAUGUGGAGCGCUUAGAAGUGAGAAUGCCGGUGUGAGUAGCGAAAGACGGGUGAGAAUCCCGUCCACCGAUUGACUAAGGUUUCCAGAGGAAGGCUCGUCCGCUCUGGGUUAGUCGGGUCCUAAGCUGAGGCCGACAGGCGUAGGCGAUGGAUAACAGGUUGAUAUUCCUGUACCACCUAGUAUCGUUUUAAUCGAUGGGGGGACGCAGUAGGAUAGGCGAAGCGUGCUGUUGGAGUGCACGUCCAAGCAGUAAGGCUGAGUGUUAGGCAAAUCCGGCACUCAUAAGGCUGAGCUGUGAUGGGGAGAGGAAAUUGUUUCCUCGAGUCGUUGAUUUCACACUGCCGAGAAAAGCCUCUAGAUAGAUAACAGGUGCCCGUACCGCAAACCGACACAGGUAGUCAAGAUGAGAAUUCUAAGGUGAGCGAGCGAACUCUCGUUAAGGAACUCGGCAAAAUGACCCCGUAACUUCGGGAGAAGGGGUGCUCUUUAGGGUUCACGCCCAGAAGAGCCGCAGUGAAUAGGCCCAAGCGACUGUUUAUCAAAAACACAGGUCUCUGCUAAACCGUAAGGUGAUGUAUAGGGGCUGACGCCUGCCCGGUGCUGGAAGGUUAAGAGGAGUGGUUAGCUUCUGCGAAGCUACGAAUCGAAGCCCCAGUAAACGGCGGCCGUAACUAUAACGGUCCUAAGGUAGCGAAAUUCCUUGUCGGGUAAGUUCCGAC
RNAcentral lists this ribosomal RNA (1985 nucleotides) under human gut metagenome. Its description in RNAcentral is "bacterial LSU rRNA". It matches the Rfam family "Bacterial large subunit ribosomal RNA", at positions 3 to 1987 of the family's 2925-position model. The record is from RNAcentral.